GGGCGGGGCCGACAGGGAGGUGACAAGGGCGUGGCUUACGCCAGGUGGGCGGGGUUUGCUCGGGUGGGCGGGAUCAGCCGGAAGGCGCGGGGAGCGCGGGGCGGGGCCGAGAGCUGCCGGUGGGUGUGGCCUGGGGAGGGGGCGGGGCACGAGGCCAGGGCGGGACGGGCGGUGCCCCAGGGCGGGUCUGUCAUGAGGGGCGGCUGGUGCCGCCCUGGGACCCCGCCGCCUCUGCCCGACUCUGUCCAGGGGCGCCCCAAUGCUUGCCCCGCCGCCUGGUCCUUCGCGGCACUCAUGCAUCGCGAUCCCCAGAGGUGUUUUGGAACCCGAGAAUGAGCCUCUCGGUCAGUACUAAGGGCUGGAGACUAAUCACAAGUCUGUGUUCACCACAAAAAACUGUCUUCUGUUUCUCGAGGCUCUGCUCUUUAUCCCUUUGCGAGGCUGGGAAGGAGCUGAAAUUCCAGAGCUGCUUCUGUAGCACUGAUGAGAACAGGGGUCUUGGAAGGACUGAGGUUUGGCGGCUGUGGAGCCUCUUGGAAACGCUACACAGUGUUGUGUCUGUUCCCUGUAUUUGGAAGGAAAUCUAAUUGUGACUGGAAGUCUCACCCAAAUACAACCAUUUUUGAUGGCAUAAUUUUCCCUGGAUUCAGCUAUACAGAAUGUUGGGAAUCUGUAGCCAGAAAACGAACAAUGCACCAAUGUGGGAAACCAGCCUAGUUUUGGCCACAAUAGCUCUGUGCCUUCGAUACCGUCAUUCUGUGAACACCCACCUGUUUUUUCCAGAGCAGCACAACUGGUCUAUAUGGAACAUACCGGGAAGCCAAGUGGGCGAUUGCCUGUGCUGUUUAUUUUUAUGGCAGUUGGCAGCACUGGAAAAUUCUCAACACACACAGAUUGCAGGAUGGACGGCAGAGAUUGGGAUGGAUGAACAAGGAUUAGCCCUCACAAUGGUACAGGAUGGGCCAUAUCUCCAGAAAACAAGCCCUGCUGAAAAAAAACUCUCCAGAUAAUGAUGGAAAGCUGAAACCAGGUAAAAGGAACCAAUAGCGAUAUUAAAAUUUAAUUGAAUUGAAAAUUCCU
This 1080-nucleotide long non-coding RNA is filed under the name Parus major (Great Tit). Its description in RNAcentral is "lncRNA (ENSPMJG00000017167.1)". The record is from RNAcentral. Lineage: Eukaryota; Metazoa; Chordata; Aves; Passeriformes; Paridae.